This 585-nucleotide ribosomal RNA is filed under the name uncultured bacterium. RNAcentral's name for it is "bacterial SSU rRNA". It matches the Rfam family "Bacterial small subunit ribosomal RNA", at positions 133 to 734 of the family's 1533-position model. The record is from RNAcentral.
ACACAGGGGGAUAACAGUUGGAAACGGCUGCUAAUACCGCAUAAGCGCACAGUACCGCAUGGUACAGUGUGAAAAACUCCGGUGGUGUGAGAUGGACCCGCGUCUGAUUAGCUAGUUGGCAGGGCAACGGCCUACCAAGGCGACGAUCAGUAGCCGACCUGAGAGGGUGACCGGCCACAUUGGGACUGAGACACGGCCCAAACUCCUACGGGAGGCAGCAGUGGGGAAUAUUGCACAAUGGGGGAAACCCUGAUGCAGCGACGCCGCGUGAGCGAAGAAGUAUUUCGGUAUGUAAAACUCUAUCAGCAGGGAAGAAGAAAUGACGGUACCUGACUAAGAAGCACCGGCUAAAUACGUGCCAGCAGCCGCGGUAAUACGUAUGGUGCAAGCGUUAUCCGGAUUUACUGGGUGUAAAGGGAGCGCAGGCGGAAGGCUAAGUCUGAUGUGAAAGCCCGGGGCUCAACCCCGGUACUGCAUUGGAAACUGGUCAUCUAGAGUGUCGGAGGGGUAAGUGGAAUUCCUAGUGUAGCGGUGAAAUGCGUAGAUAUUAGGAGGAACACCAGUGGCGAAGGCGGCUUACUGGAC